GUGGGGAAUCUUGCACAAUGGGGGCAACCCUGAUGCAGCGACGCCGCGUGAGCGAUGAAGCCCUUCGGGGUGUAAAGCUCUUUCGGCAGGAACGAUAAUGACGGUACCUGCAGAAGAAGCUGCGGCUAACUACGUGCCAGCAGCCGCGGUAAUACGUAGGCAGCAAGCGUUGUUCGGAGUUACUGGGCGUAAAGAGUGUGUAGGCGGUUCUCUAAGUUCCGUGUGAAAUCUCCCGGCUCAACUGGGAGGGUGCGCGGAAAACUGGAGGGCUUGAGUAUGGGAGAGGAAAGCGGAAUUCCUGGUGUAGCGGUGAAAUGCGUAGAUAUCAGGAGGAACACCUGCGGUGUAGACAGCUUUCUGGACCAUCACUGACGCUGAGACACGAAAGCGUGGGUAGCAAACAGGAUUAGAAACCCUUGUAGUCC
Molecule: ribosomal RNA, 425 nt
Filed under: uncultured bacterium
Lineage: Bacteria
Description: bacterial SSU rRNA
Rfam family: Bacterial small subunit ribosomal RNA
Source: RNAcentral